AGUGAAUAGAUACCCCGGUAGUCCACGCUGUAAACGAUCAAUACUAGGUGUGCGGGGACUGACCCCUGCGUGCCGGAGUUAAACAACAAUAAGUAUUGCACCUGGGGAGGUACGAUCGCAAGGUUGAAACUCAAAGGAAUUGACGGGGGCCCGGCACAAGCGGUAGAUUAUGUGGUUUAAAUUCGAAGCAACGCGAAGAACCUUACCAGGGCUUGACAUCCUACUAAUGAAGCAGAGAUGCAUUAAGUGCCCUUCGGGGAAAGUAGAGACAGGUGGUGCAUGGUUGUCGUCAGCUCGUGUCGUGAGAUGUUGGGUUAAGUCCCGCAACGAGCGCAACCCCUAUUGUUAGUUGCUACGCAAGAGCACUCUAGCGAGACUGCCGUUGACAAAACGGAGGAAGGUGGGGACGACAUCAAAUCAUCAUGCCCCGUUUAUGUCCUGGGCCACACACGUAAUACAAUGGCGGUCAACAGAGGGAUGCUAAGCCGUGAGGUGGAGCGAACCCCGUAAAAGCCGUCUCAGUUCGGA
RNAcentral lists this ribosomal RNA (528 nucleotides) under uncultured bacterium. Its description in RNAcentral is "bacterial SSU rRNA". It matches the Rfam family "Bacterial small subunit ribosomal RNA", at positions 773 to 1297 of the family's 1533-position model. The record is from RNAcentral.